RNAcentral lists this ribosomal RNA (238 nucleotides) under uncultured bacterium. RNAcentral's name for it is "partial 16S ribosomal RNA". It matches the Rfam family "Bacterial small subunit ribosomal RNA", at positions 524 to 762 of the family's 1533-position model. The record is from RNAcentral.
UACGGAGAUGGCAAGCGUUGCUCGGAUUUACUGGGCAUAAAGCGCACGUAGGCGGGCCCACAAGUCGGUUGUGAAAUCCUGGGGCUUAACCCCAGAACUGCGGCCGAUACUAUGGGCCUUGAGGGUGAGAGGGGAGAGUAGAACUUCUGGUGGAGCAGUGAAAUGCGUAGAGAUGUGGAGGAACACCGAUGGCGAAGGCAGCCCCUGGGCCAAUACUGACGCUCAUGCACGAAAGCGU